This 348-nucleotide unclassified non-coding RNA is filed under the name soil metagenome. RNAcentral's name for it is "partial contains 5.8S ribosomal RNA, internal transcribed spacer 2, and large subunit ribosomal RNA". The stretch from base 1 to 120 matches the Rfam family "5.8S ribosomal RNA", at positions 35 to 154 of the family's 154-position model. The record is from RNAcentral.
GAUGAAGAACGCAGCGAAAUGCGAUAAGUAAUGUGAAUUGCAGAAUUCAGUGAAUCAUCGAGUCUUUGAACGCACAUUGCGCCCCCUGGUAUUCCGGGGGGCAUGCCUGUCCGAGCGUCAUUGCUGCCCUCAAGCACGGCUUGUGUGUUGGGCCCCCGCCCCCCGGCUUCGGGGGGCGGGCCCCAAAGGCAGCGGCGGCACCGCGUCCGGUCCUCGAGCGUAUGGGGCUUCGUCACCCGCUCUGUAGGCCCGGCCGGCGCCCGCCGGCGACCCCAAUCAAUCUUUCCAGGUUGACCUCGGAUCAGGUAGGGAUACCCGCUGAACUUAAGCAUAUCAAUAAGCGGAGGA